RNAcentral lists this ribosomal RNA (774 nucleotides) under uncultured Neocallimastigales. RNAcentral describes it as "partial large subunit ribosomal RNA". It matches the Rfam family "Eukaryotic large subunit ribosomal RNA", at positions 24 to 637 of the family's 3401-position model. The record is from RNAcentral. Lineage: Eukaryota; Fungi; Neocallimastigomycota; Neocallimastigomycetes; Neocallimastigales.
GUAGUCUCGCACAGAUGCAUAUCAAUAAGCGGAGGAAAAGAAACUAACAAGGAUUCCCCUAGUAACGGCGAGUGAAGCGGGAAGAGCUCAAAUUUGAAAUCUUAAAGGGUUUCCCUUUACGAAUUGUAGUUUAAAGAAGUGUUUUCUGUUGAGGUUUUGGUAAAAGUUCUUUGGAAUAGGACAUCAUAGAGGGUGAGAAUCCCGUAUUUGACCUUUACUUUCAACUUUGUGAUACACUCUCAAAGAGUCGGAUUGUUUGGGAAUGCAGUCCAAAAUGGGUGGUAAAUUUCAUCUAAAGCUAAAUAUUGGCGAGAGACCGAUAGCGAACAAGUACCGUGAGGGAAAGAUGAAAAGAACUUUGAAAAGAGAGUUAAACAGUACGUGAAAUUGUCAAAAGGGAAGCGUUUGACACCAGUGUUGUUUUUCUGUAAAUCAAUUAAAGAACUGUUUAUGCUAAGUUGUUUAGACUUUAUCAGCUAACUGUUUAGUUUUGAGCUUUUCUUUAAUGCACUUUUCAGUUAACAAGUCAACAUCAAUUUCUUUUGCUGUAAAAAAGCUUGAGGAAGGUGGCUUGAGAUUCGUCUUAAGUGUUUAUAGCCUCUUGCCUAUGCAGUCGGAGAGAUUGAGGUCUGCAGCGUAGAUCCUUCGGGGCUAAAUGCAUUUGUGCUAAGUUAUAGCAUUUCAUAGACAACUUGUUGACUAUGAUUUGUCUUGUAGCUUACUCGCUUAUGUUAUUUUACCUACGCUUAGGAUGUUGACAGCAGUAUAGACUGU